This is a long non-coding RNA of Neofelis nebulosa (Clouded leopard), 656 nucleotides long. RefSeq lists it as uncharacterized. NCBI's taxonomy places the organism in Eukaryota, Metazoa, Chordata, Mammalia, Carnivora, Felidae. The record is from RefSeq and is a predicted model, not a curated record. The transcript has 2 exons.
UCUUCUUCUUAAUGCAAGUCUACUGCUAUAAACUUCCCUCUUAGUAUUGUGUUCUGCAUCUCCUGUAAGUUUUAGUAUGUUUUUAUUUUCACUUGUUUCCAGAAAUUUUCUAAAUUUCCUUGUGAUUUCUUCUUUGACCCAUUGGCUGUUCAAGAGUGAGUUUUUCUCAUUUCAAGAGUGACUUUUUUUAAUUUUUUUUUUUAACAGUGACUUUUUAAAGUAGCAAAUUAUCGCAGCACCUGACUGACUCAGCCGGUAGAGCGUGUGACUCGCGGCUCUUGAUCUUGGGGUUAUGAGUUUGAGCCUCGUGUUGAGUGUAGAGAUGACUCAAACAAAUAAAUCUUAAAAAAAAAAAAGUAGCAAAUUAUUAUUGGAAAGAUGAGACUCUUUCCCUUUAUUCUUGGAUAAAAUAGAAUUCUAUCAUUUAUGUCUCUUAUAUUUUGGAAUUUAAAUAAAAUAAAAACGUCUUUCAGAGCACAAAGGUAAAAGUCAAAGUCGCAAUGCAAAUAUAAUUUCUAGCUUUCGGUUCAUUCUGUGGGAGCUUGAGUCCAACAUUCUUGCUCUUUGAUUUUAUAGAAGGUCUCUAUGUUGAGUCCAAAAUAACUUUGACGUAGUGUCAUGGUGCCCUUCACUUCAUAGAAUAUUUAUGGUUUUCU